Molecule: ribosomal RNA, 253 nt
Filed under: uncultured bacterium
Lineage: Bacteria
Description: partial 16S ribosomal RNA
Rfam family: Bacterial small subunit ribosomal RNA
Source: RNAcentral
UACGGAGGGGGCUAGCGUUGUUCGGAAUUACUGGGCGUAAAGCGCGCGUAGGCGGACCUGCAAGUCGGGGGUGAAAGCCCGAGGCUCAACCUCGGAACUGCCUUCGAUACUGCGGGUCUCGAGUCCGGAAGAGGUGAGUGGAACUCCGAGUGUAGAGGUGAAAUUCGUAGAUAUUCGGAAGACCACCAGUGGCGAAGGCGGCUCACUGGUCCGGUACUGACGCUGAGGUGCGAAAGCGUGGGGAGCAAACAGG